UGGGGAAUUUUGGACAAUGGGCGCAAGCCUGAUCCAGCCAUGCCGCGUGUCUGAAGAAGGCCUUCGGGUUGUAAAGGACUUUUGUCAGGGAAGAAAAGGGCGGGGUUAAUACCCCUGUCUGAUGACGGUACCUGAAGAAUAAGCACCGGCUAACUACGUGCCAGCAGCCGCGGUAAUACGUAGGGUGCGAGCGUUAAUCGGAAUUACUGGGCGUAAAGCGGGCGCAGACGGUUACUUAAGCAGGAUGUGAAAUCCCCGGGCUCAACCUGGGAACUGCGUUCUGAACUGGGUGACUAGAGUGUGUCAGAGGGAGGUAGAAUUCCACGUGUAGCAGUGAAAUGCGUAGAGAUGUGGAGGAAUACCGAUGGCGAAGGCAGCCUCCUGGGAUAACACUGACGUU
Molecule: ribosomal RNA, 400 nt
Filed under: uncultured bacterium
Lineage: Bacteria
Description: bacterial SSU rRNA
Rfam family: Bacterial small subunit ribosomal RNA
Source: RNAcentral